UACGAGGGGGGCGAGCGUUGUUCGGAUUUAUUGGGCGUAAAGGGUGCGUAGGCGGUUUGGCAAGUCUUGUGUGAAAUCUUUGGGCUCAACCCAAAGUCUGCAUAAGAAACUGCCGGACUUGAGUAUGGGAGAGGUGAGUGGAAUUUCCGGUGUAGCGGUGAAAUGCGUAGAUAUCGGAAGGAACACCUGUGGCGAAAGCGGCUCACUGGACCAUUACUGACGCUGAGG
RNAcentral lists this ribosomal RNA (228 nucleotides) under uncultured bacterium. RNAcentral describes it as "partial 16S ribosomal RNA". It matches the Rfam family "Bacterial small subunit ribosomal RNA", at positions 524 to 751 of the family's 1533-position model. The record is from RNAcentral.